GACGAACCGUCCAAACGUUAUUCGGAAUCACUGGGCUUACAGAGUUCGUAGGCGGUCUGGAAAGUUGGGUGUGAAAUCCCUCGGCUCAACCGAGGAACUGCGCUUGAAACUACCAGACUCGAGGGAGAUAGAGGAAAGCGGAACUGAUGGUGGAGCGGUGAAAUGCGUUGAUAUCUGGAGGAAUACCGGUGGCGAAGGCGGCAUCCUGGACCGGCAUUGACGCUGAACAGCGAAAGCUAGGGGAGCAAACGGG
This 253-nucleotide ribosomal RNA is filed under the name uncultured bacterium. Its description in RNAcentral is "partial 16S ribosomal RNA". It matches the Rfam family "Bacterial small subunit ribosomal RNA", at positions 524 to 776 of the family's 1533-position model. The record is from RNAcentral.